AAGGGCACCACAAGAACGCGUGGAGCANGUGGCUUAAUUUGACUCAACGCGGGAAAUCUUACCGGGUCCGGACAUACUGAGGAUUGACAGGUGUUUAUGUGCUAUUUACGCUGUGGGAAUUUUUUUUUUAAAUUUUCCUAUGGCGAGCAUAUUAUAAAUAUGCUAGUCCUUUCAUGAUUGUGUGAUAGGUGGUGCAUGGCCGUUCCUAGUUCGUGAAGUGAUUUGUCUGCUUAAUUGCGUUUCGUAAUAAGGGUGUUCUUCUUACUAUUAAGUCGUAUGAUUUAUUUUUAUAAAAAAAUUUUUUUUUUUUUAUUAAAAAUUUUAAUCUUCGCUUAUUUCGGUAGAAAACACCUUGAAGGCAACGAACGUGACCGCAGCCCCUCGUUACUCCAGGAGAGGGGAUGGUUCUCUCGGCCGUGCGGAUAAAUCCUUAUAAUUUUUUUUUUUUUAAAAAAGAUUAUAGGGAAGUACGGUAGAAGGGCCAUUUUAACUCUUCAUUUUUUCAUAGGAGACAACUAGGGGGACCGCUAGUUUUCUGUCAAACUAGAGGAAGAAUGCGGCAAUAACAGGUCUGUGAUGCCCUUAGAUGUUCCGGGCCGCACACGUGCUACAAUGAUUAUUGCAGUGAGCAUCUAAUUUUUUUCUGUUUGGAGUUUUUAGGCUCUGGAACCCUCUGGGUGCCCUAGGUCUAGCUCCUAUACAGGUGGGUUAUUCAAGAUGUGUGGUAUUUUUUUUUAAAGGUAUCAUACUCUUGAUAACCCUGUUGAACCUACUUCGAAAGUAAGUAGGCAAACAAUUCGAAGUAAUGAUUUCCUUUUUUCUUUUAAAAAAAAGCACUAAUUUUCAAUGUUAUCCUAUUAUUGUUUUUUCAUUUUUGGCGGUAAUAGGGGGCGAUGGUUCUUCACGGGAUCGUCGUUUUUUAUUGCCGUUUUAUAAAUGUUAUAAACAGGGAUAAUCAUGUGCUCCAUUAGUUCGUGGUGGGGACAGACCAUUGUUAAUUGUUGGUCUCGGUCUCAACUAGGAAUGCCUUGUACGGGUCUUUGGUUCAACAUACCACCCGGAAUACGUCCCUGCCCUUUGUACACACCGCCCGUCGCUCUUACCGAUGGACUUCUCUGUGAGUUUGAGGGACUGGCCGGCUUUUUUUUUUAAAGAGUUUGGCUAUGGAAACUCAUGCGAACAGUGUGGUCUAAAGGAAAGAGAAGUCGAACAAGGCA
Molecule: ribosomal RNA, 1217 nt
Filed under: uncultured soil foraminiferan
Lineage: Eukaryota; Foraminifera
Description: partial small subunit ribosomal RNA
Rfam family: Eukaryotic small subunit ribosomal RNA
Source: RNAcentral